GGAAGUAAAAGUCGUAACAAGAUUUCCGUAGGUGAACCUGCGGAAGGAUCAUUAUUGUAUAACCGAGGUGCGAGGGCUGUCGCUGACCCGAAAGGUCGUGCACGCCCGAGUGCCCUCACACACAUCCGUCUCACCCCUAUGUGCACCACCGCGUGGGUCCCCCUUUGGCUUGUUCGGAGGGGGGCUUACGUUUUCACACAAACUUUGUAUGCAGUGUAGAAUGUAUUUUUUGUUUUUGCGAUCACGCAAUCAAUACAACUUUCAACAACGGAUCUCUUGGCUCUC
RNAcentral lists this unclassified non-coding RNA (285 nucleotides) under plant metagenome. Its description in RNAcentral is "partial contains small subunit ribosomal RNA, internal transcribed spacer 1, and 5.8S ribosomal RNA". The stretch from base 1 to 54 matches the Rfam family "Eukaryotic small subunit ribosomal RNA", at positions 1778 to 1831 of the family's 1831-position model. The record is from RNAcentral.